RNAcentral lists this ribosomal RNA (497 nucleotides) under uncultured bacterium. RNAcentral describes it as "partial 16S ribosomal RNA". It matches the Rfam family "Bacterial small subunit ribosomal RNA", at positions 28 to 507 of the family's 1533-position model. The record is from RNAcentral.
GAUGAACGCUGGCGGCGUGCCUAAUACAUGCAAGUCGAGCGAACGGACGAGAAGCUUGCUUCUCUGAUGUUAGCGGCGGACGGGUGAGUAACACGUGGAUAACCUGCCUAUAAGACUGGGAUAACUUCGGGAAACCGGAGCUAGUACCGGAUGAUAUUUUGAACCGCAUGGUUCAAAAGUGAAAGACGGUCUUGCUGUCACUUAUAGAUGGAUCCGCGCUGCAUUAGCUAGUUGGUAAGGUAACGGCUUACCAAGGCAACGAUGCAUAGCCGACCUGAGAGGGUGAUCGGCCACACUGGAACUGAGACACGGUCCAGACUCCUACGGGAGGCAGCAGUAGGGAAUCUUCCGCAAUGGGCGAAAGCCUGACGGAGCAACGCCGCGUGAGUGAUGAAGGUCUUCGGAUCGUAAAACUCUGUUAUUAGGGAAGAACAUAUGUGUAAGUAACUGUGCACAUCUUGACGGUACCUAAUCAGAAAGCCACGGCUAACUACGUG